RNAcentral lists this long non-coding RNA (283 nucleotides) under Anser brachyrhynchus (Pink-footed goose). RNAcentral's name for it is "lncRNA (ENSABRG00000010532.1)". The record is from RNAcentral. Lineage: Eukaryota; Metazoa; Chordata; Aves; Anseriformes; Anatidae.
UUGCAAAUCAGCAUGGCAGAAACCUCUUUGCUUACCUUGUCCUGAGCUUCCUGGAUGUGCACUGAUGUGGGACAAGAAGGCAAGUUAUGUUACAAUGAAGAUUAGCCAGACUAGAAGAACUAUGUAUUUCUGUUUCAACAAGAGGACAUAACAUUUCUGAGUUGACUCAGUGAUGUGAUAUGCUGGAGAGAACAACAAAUGAAAACAACCUAGGUAUUCAGAAAGGUAACUGAACAUAUACCUUUAAUGUAUUAGAACACAGAAAAUAGUAAGGUUCCUGGGA